This is a long non-coding RNA of Oreochromis aureus, 527 nucleotides long. RefSeq lists it as uncharacterized. Lineage: Eukaryota; Metazoa; Chordata; Actinopteri; Cichliformes; Cichlidae. The record is from RefSeq and is a predicted model, not a curated record. The transcript has 3 exons.
GGCAAUGGCUUUCACCAGCUGCAGGACUGGGUUUUCACUGUCCUUCAGAACAGCAAUUUGAAAUGUGGAGCUGUCACAGAAGGCACAACAUAAGCACUGAAAAAAUGCAUCAAAUGCACAGAUUCAUCUGCAUGGAGCCAUUCGGUACAUGGAGAGAGGUAGGAAGUCCUCUUCCUUUUUUUGGGUGGAACAGCCAGGCCCCUCCAGUUCUCAACUGCAUCUUCAUCAGCCGGAGGAAUUUUUGUGGCAGCAUCAGAUCCCACAAACGGAACAAAUCCGCAUAUUUCCCUCGAUGAAGGAAAGAUGACGAGCAAUGAAGCGAUCGACUCGAACAGGCAAGUUUUCAUGUUUGAAAAGGCCGUGUUUUAUGUUUUUGAACUCAGCUUCAACAGUGGCUGAACUUGCUGUGAUGCUGGUGCUUUGGAAGAGAGGGACCAUUAUUCCUGUCCAGAGAGGCAAGUAACUUGUCAGUCUUAUUAUAUGAGGAAUAAUCUCAGGGAGAAAGUGAAUAUUAGUCCCACUGGCAU